UCCGGUUUGGCACCGGCAGUCUCCAAUGAGUCCCCGGCAUUACCCGCUGGCAACAUUGGACAGGGGUUGCGCUCGUUGCGCCACUUAAGGCAACACCUCACGGCACGAGCUGACGACAGCCAUGCAGCACCUGUGCAGGCUCCCGAAGGAGCACCGGCUUUCACCGGUUUCACCCUGCAUGUCAAGCCCUGGUAAGGUGGGGAUGACGUAGCUAAGCCUUC
This 221-nucleotide unclassified non-coding RNA is filed under the name uncultured Actinomycetes bacterium. RNAcentral's name for it is "uncultured actinobacterium contains 16S-23S intergenic spacer region". Lineage: Bacteria; Bacillati; Actinomycetota; Actinomycetes. The record is from RNAcentral.